AUACGUAGGUGACAAGCGUUAUCCGGAUUUACUGGGCGUAAAGGGAGCGUAGGCGGGAGCUUAAGUCAGCGGUUAAAUGGUGCGGCUCAACCGUGCCCUGCCGUUGAAACUGGGUUUCUUGAGAGUGCAAGAGGCGGAUGGAAUUCAUGGUGUAGCGGUGAAAUGCUUAGAUAUCAUGAAGAACUCCGAUUGCGAAGGCAGUCCGCUGGGGCACGUCUGACGCUGAUGCUCGAAGGUGCGGGAAUCAAACAGGAUUAGAUACCCUGGUAGUCCGCACGGUAAACGAUGAUUACCCGCUGUCGGCGGCAGACAGUCGGCGGCCAAGCGAAAGCGAUAAGUAAUCCACCUGGGGAGUACGCCGGCAACGGUGAAACUCAAAUGAAUUGGCGGGG
Molecule: ribosomal RNA, 392 nt
Filed under: uncultured bacterium
Lineage: Bacteria
Description: partial 16S ribosomal RNA
Rfam family: Bacterial small subunit ribosomal RNA
Source: RNAcentral